GAAAUGCGAUAAGUAAUGUGAAUUGCAGAAUUCAGUGAAUCAUCGAAUCUUUGAACGCACAUUGCGCCCGCCAGUAUUCUGGCGGGCAUGCCUGUUCGAGCGUCAUUUCAACCAUCAAGCCCCCGGCUUGUGUUGGGGACCUGCGGCUGCCCGCAGGCCCUGAAAAACAGUGGCGGGCUCGCUGUCACACCGAGCGUAGUAGCAUACAUUCUCGCUCAGGGCGUGCUGCGGGUCCCGGCCGUUAAACGACCUUCAUAACCCAAGGUUGACCUCGGAUCAGGUAGGAAGACCCGCUGAACUUAAGC
Molecule: unclassified non-coding RNA, 305 nt
Filed under: plant metagenome
Description: partial contains 5.8S ribosomal RNA, internal transcribed spacer 2, and large subunit ribosomal RNA
Rfam family: 5.8S ribosomal RNA (bases 1-105)
Source: RNAcentral